UGGUGUAGUUGGAGGACGCACUGGUGGAGUCACGGGUGGUGUGUUUGGUGGAACCGUUGGUGGAGUUUGUGGUGGUGUGUUUGGAGGAGUUUCCGGUGGUGUGUUUGGAGGUGUCUGUGGAGGUGUGUUUGGUGGAAGCGUUGGUGGAAUUUGUGGUGGUGUGUUUGGUGGAAGCGUUGGUGGAGAUUGUGGUGGUGUGUUUGGAAGAGCUUCCGGUGGUGUGUUUGGUGGAAGCGUUGGUAGAGUCUCUGGUGGUGAGUUUGGAGGAGUUUGCGGUGGUGUCUCCGGUGGUGUGUUUGGUGGAAGCGUUGGUGGAAUCUGUGGUGAUUGGUUUGGAGGAGUUCCCGGUGGUGUGUUUGGAAGUGUCUCCGGUGGUGUGUUUGGAGGCGUUUCCGGUGGAGUGUUUGGAGGACUUUGUGGGGGUGUGUUUGGUGGAGUUUCCGGUUGUGUGGUUGGAGGAGUUUCCGGGGGUGUGUUUGGAGGAGUUUCUGGUGGUGUGGUUGGAGGUGUCUUUGGUGUGUUUGGAGGAGUUCCCGGUGGUGUGUUUGGAGGUGUUUCUGGUGGAGUAUUUGGAGGACUUUGUGGGGGGGUGUUUGGUGGAGUUUCUGGUGGUGUGAUUGGAGGAGUUUCUGGUGGUGUGGUUGGAGGUGUCUCCGGUGGUGUGUUUGGAGGAGUUCCUGGUGGUGUGUUUGGAAGUGUCUCUGGUGGUGUGUUUGGAGGAGUUCCCGGUGGUGUGUUUGGAGGUGUUUCUGGUGGAGUAUUUGGAGGACUUUGUGGGGGGGUGUUUGGUGGAGUUUCUGGUGGUGUGAUUGGAGGAGUUUCUGGUGGUGUUGUUGGAGGUGUCUCCGGUGGUGUGUUUGGAGGAGUUCCUGGUGGUGUGUUUGGAAGUGUCUCCGGUGGUGUGUUUGGAGGAGUUCCCGGUGGUGUGUUUGGAGGUGUUUCUGGUGGAGUAUUUGGAGGACUUUGUGGGGGUGUGUUUGGUGGAAUUUCCGGUGGUGUGGUUGGAGAAGUUUCCGGUGGUGUGUUUGGAGAAGUUUCUGGUGGUGUGGUUGGAGGUGUCUCCGGUGGUGUGGUUGGAGGUGUCUCCGGUGGUGUGUUUGGAGGAGUUCCCGGUGGUGUGUUUGGAGGUAUUUCCGGUGGAGUGUUUGGAGGACUUUCUGGGGGCGUGUUUGGUGGAGUUUCUGGUGGUGUUGUUGGAGGUGUCUCCGGUGGCGUGUUUGGUGGAAGCGUUGGUGGAGUCUGUGGUGGUGUGUUAGGAGGUAUUUCCGGUGGUAUGGUCGGAGGUGUCUGUGGUGGUAGGGUUGGUGGACCUGUUGGUAAAACUUCCGUAG
RNAcentral lists this long non-coding RNA (1331 nucleotides) under Arabidopsis thaliana (thale cress). Its description in RNAcentral is "long non-coding RNA (ATHA_LNC000288)". The record is from RNAcentral. Lineage: Eukaryota; Viridiplantae; Streptophyta; Magnoliopsida; Brassicales; Brassicaceae.